This 495-nucleotide ribosomal RNA is filed under the name uncultured bacterium. RNAcentral describes it as "partial 16S ribosomal RNA". It matches the Rfam family "Bacterial small subunit ribosomal RNA", at positions 28 to 507 of the family's 1533-position model. The record is from RNAcentral.
GACGAACGCUGGCGGCGUGCCUAAUACAUGCAAGUAGAACGCUGAAGGAGGAGCUUGCUUCUCUGGAUGAGUUGCGAACGGGUGAGUAACGCGUAGGUAACCUGCCUGGUAGCGGGGGAUAACUAUUGGAAACGAUAGCUAAUACCGCAUAAUAGUAGAUGUCGCAUGACAUUUGCUCAAAAGGUGCAAUUGCAUCACUACCAGAUGGACCUGCGUUGUAUUAGCUAGUUGGGGAGGUAACGGCUCACCAAGGCAACGAUACAUAGCCGACCUGCGAGGGUGAUCGGCCACACUGGGACUGGGACACGGCCCAGACUACUACGGGAGGCAGCAGUAGGGAAUCUUCGGCAAUGGACGGAAGUCUGACCGAGCAACGCCGCGUGAGUGAAGAAGGUUGUCGGAUCGUAAAGCUCUGUUGUAAGAGAAGAACGAGUGUGAGAGUGGAAAGUUCACACUGUGACGGUAUCUGACCAGAAAGGGACGGCUAACUACGUG